RNAcentral lists this ribosomal RNA (700 nucleotides) under uncultured bacterium. Its description in RNAcentral is "bacterial SSU rRNA". It matches the Rfam family "Bacterial small subunit ribosomal RNA", at positions 695 to 1396 of the family's 1533-position model. The record is from RNAcentral.
UAUUAGAAAGAAUACCAAUUGCGAAGGCAGCUUUCUGGAUCAUUACUGACACUGAGGAACGAAAGCAUGGGUAGCGAAGAGGAUUAGAUACCCUCGUAGUCCAUGCCGUAAACGAUGUGUGUUAGACGUUGGAAAUUUAUUUUCAGUGUCGCAGCGAAAGCGAUAAACACACCGCCUGGGGAGUACGACCGCAAGGUUAAAACUCAAAUGAAUUGACGGGGACCCGCACAAGUAGUGGAGCAUGUGGUUUAAUUCGUAGAUACGCGCAGAACCUUACCAACACUUGACAUGUUCGUCGCGACUCUAAGAGAUUAGAGUUUUCGGUUCGGCCGGACGAAACACAGGUGCUGCAUGGCUGUCGUCAGCUCGUGUCGUGAGAUGUUGGGUUAAGUCCCGCAACGAGCGCAACCCUCACUUUUAGUUGCCAUCAUUAAGUUGGGCACUCUGAAAGAACUGCCAGUGAUAAGCUGGAGGAAGGUGGGGAUGACGUCAAGUCCUCAUGGCCCUUACGUGUUGGGCUACACACGUGCUACAAUGGUAUCUACAACAGGAAGCAAGACUGCGAGGUCAAGCAAAUCCUUAAAAGAUACCUCAGUUCGGAUUGCACUCUGCAACUCGAGUGCAUGAAGCUGGAAUUACUAGUAAUCGUGGAUCAGCGUGCCACGGUGAAUGCGUUCCCGGGCCUUGUACACACCGCCCA